GUACAACAAGGUUACUGCUGAACAUGUGCUGACAGCAGCAUAAAUUACCUCCUCCCUUGGCCUCCCCAGGUGCUCCAGUGCCUAACAAGGAUUGAUCUAACGAUGAAGGUUUUUCCUCAGUAGGGCUAUGAACAGGGUUUCUGCCUGACUGGCAGUCUGUUUUUUAUAAAUGUAGCAUCUUCAGGAUCUUUUUGUCGUGGUCAAACCUGGUUGAAAUUGGCUAACAUUGAAGAGCUUCUGCAGGAGGACUGACAGCUGCACAAACAGAUUCAGACAAGGAAGCUAGGAAAAAAAAAAAAAAAAAAAAAAAAAAAAAAAAAAAAAAAAAAAAAAAAAAAAAAAAGCAAACAAACAAACGAAAAACUAGGUAGCUACAUUAAAUUCUCAUCCAAACUAUUGGGGAAUACAGAGAUACAGAGAAAAGUCAGAGAGAUGAAGCAAAGGAGGCUAAACAGCCUUGUUUUGUCGUUAAAUGAUGGCUACACAAAACAUUAAGCAUCCAGUCUUCAGUCUUAAUUCCCACUUUAAAUUGAGACCAGAAGUUCCCUAUUAACUUAAGGGAAGAAGAAUUGGAUACAUUUGGAUAGGUAGCUGUGAUAAAUGGAUUUGCUUCUCCCUGCUCUCUCUUUUGGGGCUUUUACAGGCAGCAUGAAGUUUGUAGGAUUCCAACUCAAAAGCUGGGCAUUACUCUGUGUUGUCAUGGGGGUGUUGUUUUUACCAACUAAUGGGGAGAAUGAGUAG
This 741-nucleotide long non-coding RNA is filed under the name Anas platyrhynchos platyrhynchos (common mallard). Its description in RNAcentral is "lncRNA (ENSAPLG00000022668.1)". The record is from RNAcentral. Lineage: Eukaryota; Metazoa; Chordata; Aves; Anseriformes; Anatidae.